CCCUUAGAUGUUCUGGGCCGCACACGCGCUACACUGAAGGAGGCAGCGUGUACUCCUGGAUCGAAAGAUUUGGGUAACCCGCGAAUCUCCUUCGUGCUAGGGAUUGAGGUUUGCAAUUAUCCUUCAUGAACGAGGAAUUCCCAGUAAGUGCAAGUCAUAAGCUUGCGCUGACUACGUCCCUGCCCUUUGUACACACCGCCCGUCGCUACUACCGAUUGAGUGAUCCGGUGAAUAAUUCGGACUGCAGCAGUGUUCAGUUCCUGAACGUUGCAGUGGAAAGUUUAGUGAACCUUAUCACUUAGAGGAAGGAGAAGUCGUAACA
RNAcentral lists this ribosomal RNA (322 nucleotides) under uncultured eukaryote. RNAcentral's name for it is "partial 18S ribosomal RNA". It matches the Rfam family "Eukaryotic small subunit ribosomal RNA", at positions 1470 to 1796 of the family's 1831-position model. The record is from RNAcentral.